GACGAACGCUGGCGGCGUGCUUAACACAUGCAAGUCGAGCGGUAAGGCCCUUUCGGGGGUACACGAGCGGCGAACGGGUGAGUAACACGUGGGUGACCUGCCCUCAGCUCUGGGAUAAGCCUGGGAAACUGGGUCUAAUACCGGAUAUGACUCCAUGACGCAUGUUGUGGGGUGGAAAGCCUUGUGCGGCUGAGGAUGGGCCCGCGGCCUAUCAGCUUGUUGGUGGGGNGAUGGCCUACCAAGGCGACGACGGGUAGCCGGCCUGAGAGGGCGACCGGCCACACUGGGACUGAGACACGGCCCAGACUCCUACGGGAGGCAGCAGUGGGGAAUCUUGCGCAAUGGGCGAAAGCCUGACGCAGCGACGCCGCGUGA
RNAcentral lists this ribosomal RNA (375 nucleotides) under uncultured bacterium. Its description in RNAcentral is "bacterial SSU rRNA". It matches the Rfam family "Bacterial small subunit ribosomal RNA", at positions 28 to 404 of the family's 1533-position model. The record is from RNAcentral.